Molecule: ribosomal RNA, 442 nt
Filed under: uncultured bacterium
Lineage: Bacteria
Description: partial 16S ribosomal RNA
Rfam family: Bacterial small subunit ribosomal RNA
Source: RNAcentral
CCUACGGGAGGCAGCAGUAGGGAAUCUUUCACAAUGGGCGAAAGCCUGAUGGAGCAACGCCGCGUGCAGGAUGAAGGCCGUCGGGUUGUAAACUGCUUUUAUAAGCGAGAAAUAUGAUGGUAACUUAUGAAUAAGGAUCGGCUAACUACGUGACAGCAGCCGCGGUCAUACGUAGGAUCCGAGCAUUAUCCGGGGUGACUGGGUGUAAAGAGUUGCGUAGGUGGCAUAAUAAGUAGCUAGUGAAAUCUGGUGGCUCAACCAUUCAGACUAUUAGCUAAACUGUUAAGCUCGAGACCGUUAGGGGUAACUGGAAUGUCUAGUGUAGGAGUGAAAUCCGUAGAUAUUAGAAGGAACACCAAUAGCGUAGGCAGGUUGCUGGGACGGUUCUGACACUAAGGCACGAAAGCGUAGGGAGCAAACGGGAUUAGAUACCCCUGUAGUC